This is a long non-coding RNA of Daphnia carinata, 517 nucleotides long. RefSeq lists it as uncharacterized. Lineage: Eukaryota; Metazoa; Arthropoda; Branchiopoda; Diplostraca; Daphniidae. The transcript has 3 exons. The record is from RefSeq and is a predicted model, not a curated record.
UAUAGGCAAGACCAUAGCGAGAAAAAUUUAAAGAACAUCGGCGUUAUCUAACGUAUCGGGGAGAAACAGUUACCUGAGCCAAGUAAUGAGGUUGGUUGGAACUCGCCAGCUUAUACCGGCCAUUGCUGUACAAAAACAAUUAACAACGACAAGGAAUACGAAGAGUUAUAGAAUCAGCUUCAGUCAACACGUUUUUUCACCUUCACGUCAGCACCUGCCGGUAGGAAGCUCGUCACGAGUAAACCCUGGGUAGACCGGGGCCGAGCACUAACCGGAGGUAUAGGAUCGCCGUCCCUCUCCUAAUGGCGAGAAGAAGGAAAAUUUAACUCCAUCCGAUUGUCAUAACGCGCCAAGAGAGGCACCGACAUCCCGUGAUGGCAAGAGUAGGUUAUAAAGGUGGUGGCAUCAAGAUGGAUAAUUCAUCAAAAUGGAGGUAUUUUUAGAAAUCAUGGCAAAACAAAGUAUGGUUAUUUAUACAUAUACAUCUGUUGAACCCUAAAGUCUGUUGAGUUAGAAC